GAUGAAGAACGUAGCGAAAUGCGAUAAGUAAUGUGAAUUGCAGAAUUCAGUGAAUCAUCGAAUCUUUGAACGCACAUUGCGCCCCCUGGUAUUCCGGGGGGCAUGCCUGCCCGAGCGUCAUUACAACCCUCAAGCUCAGCUUGGUAUUGGGCCCCGCCGACCCGGCGGGCCCUAAAGUCAGUGGCGGUGCCGUCCGGCUCCGAGCGUAGUAAUUCUUCUCGCUCUGGAGGUCCGGUCGUGUGCUCGCCAGCAACCCCCAAUUUUUUUCAGGUUGACCUCGGAUCAGGUAGGGAUACCCGCUGAACUUAAGCAUAUCAAUAAGCGGAGGA
This 329-nucleotide unclassified non-coding RNA is filed under the name soil metagenome. Its description in RNAcentral is "partial contains 5.8S ribosomal RNA, internal transcribed spacer 2, and large subunit ribosomal RNA". The stretch from base 1 to 120 matches the Rfam family "5.8S ribosomal RNA", at positions 35 to 154 of the family's 154-position model. The record is from RNAcentral.